RNAcentral lists this ribosomal RNA (253 nucleotides) under uncultured bacterium. RNAcentral's name for it is "partial 16S ribosomal RNA". It matches the Rfam family "Bacterial small subunit ribosomal RNA", at positions 524 to 776 of the family's 1533-position model. The record is from RNAcentral.
UACGUAGGGGGCAAGCGUUGUCCGGAAUCAUUGGGCGUAAAGAGCGUGUAGGCGGCCAGAUAAGUCCGAUGUGAAAUCUCGAGGCUCAACUUCGAGCUGUCGGUGGAAACUGUCUGGCUAGAGUCCGGAAGAGGAGAAUGGAAUUCCUGGUGUAGCGGUGAAAUGCGCAGAUAUCAGGAAGAACACCCGUGGCGAAGGCGGUUCUCUGGGACGGUACUGACGCUGAGACGCGAAAGCGUGGGGAGCGAACAGG